GGGAGCUUGGCUGAGUGGCUUAAAGCACCCGCCUUCUAAUCGGGCGACGGAUUGCAUCCGUCCGUGGGUUCAAAUCCCACAGCUCCCG
RNAcentral lists this transfer RNA (88 nucleotides) under Achromobacter phage vB_AxyP_19-32_Axy13. It matches the Rfam family "tRNA". Rfam says of the family: Transfer RNA (tRNA) molecules are approximately 80 nucleotides in length. Their secondary structure includes four short double-helical elements and three loops (D, anti-codon, and T loops). Further hydrogen bonds mediate the characteristic L-shaped molecular structure. tRNAs have two regions of fundamental functional importance: the anti-codon, which is responsible for specific mRNA codon recognition, and the 3' end, to which the tRNAs corresponding amino acid is attached (by aminoacyl-tRNA synthetases). tRNAs cope with the degeneracy of the genetic code in two manners: having more than one tRNA (with a specific anti-codon) for a particular amino acid; and 'wobble' base-pairing, i.e. permitting non-standard base-pairing at the 3rd anti-codon position. The record is from Rfam by way of RNAcentral. Lineage: Duplodnaviria; Heunggongvirae; Uroviricota; Caudoviricetes; Schitoviridae.